CAGCAAGACUCUGUCAAAAAAAAAAAAAAAAAAAAAAAAAACCUGAGUUGUAACAAUUCAGGGUGAUUAUAUGCAAGGCUCGCUUCUCCUGGAUUCCAGGAAGUGGGAAGCAAGUUAUUGCUAAAAGACAGAGGCCCCAAGAUCUCAAUAAAGCCAACAUGUGCAUUCCAGGUACCACACCUGACAUGUCCAUGCUGAGUGACCCCAAGAUCCCUGAGUCACCUUACAUAAUUCAACAGCCCUUACUCUUCAAGCAAGAUCCCAACAGCCACCAGACCUGGCAAACAUUUUAUUUUUCUUUCCUGAAGAAGCAUAGGAAAAGAUUUUUGGCCUAAGCUUUUAGAGUGGUCAGCUUCACUGUCGCCUAGAGCCAGCAUUGUGAACCUACUGUCCCUACUCAUAGCCAUGAUGCUCCUACUGAACCCCAUGUCCCUGAGGCCUCCUGUGACCAGAGCUAGAACUUUCUGAAUUGAGCUGCCAUUUUCCAAAUCUAUCAGGGCUUGCCAAAUCCCUACGCCUUCACCCACGCUGCACUUGAGCCCACAGUCUGCCUCUCUGGAAUACUACCGUCACUAGAGACAUUCUCUAAUGUCCAAUCAGAAAGUGACUCCUCUCCAUUUAUUCCUACAGUUCUUUAUGCCUGCAGUAACAAAAUAUUACCAGGCCAUACUAUAGGUUUUUGUUUUAUGGUCUCCUUUUUCUGAUAAGCCUGAGCAAGUCUGUGCUCAGGAACCAAGACUCACUUCCUUUUGUGCACCCAAAGGCUAUCACAGCACCUAGCAUGGAGUGGGUGCUCAAAUGCCAGUUGAAAGAACUGGUGAGUUUUAGGUGAAGGAUAUCAUGGUGUCCAGGGUGCUAUUCUCUCAACUUUUAUGUAGGCUUGGAAUUUUUCAAAGGUGAGUGUUGUAUGAAAGGAGAGACUUGUUAGCACUCCCCUUGACAAGGAUGGAAGAGGCCCUCAGGCCUGACAACUAACAUGAAGUUAACACAUUUCCACCUAUUUUGUGGCAUCUAAAGCAUCAUUUUUAAGCUGGAUGUGGUGGCUUAUGCCUGUAAUCCUAGCACUUUGGGAGACCAAGGUGGGAGGAUUGCUUGAGGCCAGGAGUGCAAGGCCAACCUGGCCAACAUGCUAAGAACCCAUCUCUCUCUCUCUCUUUUUUUGUUUGUUUCUUUGUUUGUUUUUUAAAAAGAAAAAAAGACAUAGAAAAAAGAUGAGAGGCUGAGCAUGGUGGCUCACAUCUGUAACUCCAGCACUUUGAGAGGCCGAGGUGGGAGCAUCACUUGAAGCCAGGAGUUCACAUCAGUCUGGGCAACAGAGGGAGACCCUGUCUCAGGAGAAAGAAAAGGAAAGAAAGAAAGAAAGAAAGAAAGAAAGAAAGAAAGAAAGAAAGAAAGAAAGAAAGAGAGAGAGAG
This 1413-nucleotide long non-coding RNA is filed under the name Homo sapiens (human). The record is from RNAcentral. Lineage: Eukaryota; Metazoa; Chordata; Mammalia; Primates; Hominidae.